RNAcentral lists this ribosomal RNA (373 nucleotides) under uncultured bacterium. RNAcentral's name for it is "bacterial SSU rRNA". It matches the Rfam family "Bacterial small subunit ribosomal RNA", at positions 30 to 414 of the family's 1533-position model. The record is from RNAcentral.
AUUGAACGCUGGCGGCAGGCUUAACACAUGCAAGUCGAGCGGAGACUUCGGUCUUAGCGGCGAACGGGUGAGUAAUACCUAGGAAUCUGCCUAUUAGUGGGGGAUAACGGCUCGAAAGGGUCGCUAAUACCGCAUACGUCCUACGGGAGAAAGUGGGGGAUCUUCGGACCUCACGCUAAUAGAUGAGCCUAGGCCGGAUUAGCUAGUUGGUAGGGUAAAGGCCUACCAAGGCGACGAUCCGUAGCUGGUCUGAGAGGAUGAUCAGCCACACUGGAACUGAGACACGGUCCAGACUCCUACGGGAGGCAGCAGUGGGGAAUAUUGGACAAUGGGGGGCAACCCUGAUCCAGCCAUGCCGCGUGUGUGAAGAAGG